ACAUGCAAGUCGAACGGUGAACACGGAGCUUGCUCUGUGGGAUCAGUGGCGAACGGGUGAGUAACACGUGAGCAACCUGCCCCUGACUCUGGGAUAAGCGCUGGAAACGGCGUCUAAUACUGGAUAUGUGACGUGACCGCAUGGUCUGCGUCUGGAAAGAAUUUCGGUUGGGGAUGGGCUCGCGGCCUAUCAGCUUGUUGGUGAGGUAAUGGCUCACCAAGGCGUCGACGGGUAGCCGGCCUGAGAGGGUGACCGGCCACACUGGGACUGAGACACGGCCCANACUCCUACGGGAGGCAGCAGUGGGGAAUAUUGCACAAUGGGCGCAAGCCUGAUGCAGCAACNCCGCGUGAGGGACGACGGCCUUCGGGUUGUAAACCUCUUUUANCANGGAAGAAGCAAAAGUGACGGUNCCUGCAGAAAAAGCGCCGGUUAACUACGUGCCAACAGCCG
Molecule: ribosomal RNA, 453 nt
Filed under: PAH-contaminated sludge bacterium PB-24
Lineage: Bacteria; Bacillati; Actinomycetota; Actinomycetes; Micrococcales; Microbacteriaceae
Description: bacterial SSU rRNA
Rfam family: Bacterial small subunit ribosomal RNA
Source: RNAcentral